UACGUAGGGUCCGAGCGUUGUCCGGAAUCACUGGGCGUAAAGGGCGCGUAGGCGGGGAUGUAAGUCGGGCGUGAAAUCCCCAGGCUCAACCUGGGAACUGCACUCGAAACUGCGUUUCUUGAGUAUCGGAGAGGAAAGCGGAAUUCCUGGUGUAGAGGUGAAAUUCGUAGAUAUCAGGAGGAACACCGGUGGCGAAGGCGGCUUUCUGGACGACAACUGACGCUGAGACGCGAAAGCGUGGGGAGCAAACAGG
This 253-nucleotide ribosomal RNA is filed under the name uncultured bacterium. Its description in RNAcentral is "partial 16S ribosomal RNA". It matches the Rfam family "Bacterial small subunit ribosomal RNA", at positions 524 to 776 of the family's 1533-position model. The record is from RNAcentral.